GCCGGGUGUGGUGGCGGGCACCUGUAAUCCCAGCUACUUGGGAGGCUGAGACAGGAGAAUCGCUUGAACCCAGGAGGUGGAGGUUGCUGUGAGCCGAGAUUGUGCCACUGCACUUCAGCCUGGGUGACACAGCAAAACUCUGUCUCAA
RNAcentral lists this non-coding RNA (148 nucleotides) under Chlorocebus sabaeus (green monkey). Lineage: Eukaryota; Metazoa; Chordata; Mammalia; Primates; Cercopithecidae. The record is from Rfam by way of RNAcentral.